RNAcentral lists this ribosomal RNA (449 nucleotides) under uncultured bacterium. RNAcentral describes it as "partial 16S ribosomal RNA". It matches the Rfam family "Bacterial small subunit ribosomal RNA", at positions 29 to 523 of the family's 1533-position model. The record is from RNAcentral.
AACGAACGCUGGCGGCAGGCCUAACACAUGCAAGUCGAACGCCCUAGCAAUAGGGAGUGGCAGACGGGUGAGUAACACGUGGGAACGUGCCCUUCGGUUCGGAAUAACUCAGGGAAACUUGAGCUAAUACCGGAUAAGUGCGAGAGCAGAAAGAUUUAUCGCCGAAGGAUCGGCCCGCGUCCGAUUAGCUAGUUGGUGAGGUAAUGGCUCACCAAGGCGACGAUCGGUAGCUGGUCUGAGAGGAUGACCAGCCACACUGGGACUGGGACACGGCCCAGACUCCGACGGGAGGCAGCAGUGGGGAAUAUUGGACAAUGGGCGCAAGCCUGAUCCAGCCAUGCCGCGUGAGUGAUGAAGGCCCUAGGGUUGUAAAGCUCUUUCGCCAGGGACGAUAAUGACGGUACCUGGAUAAGAAGCCCCGGCUAACUUCGUGCCAGCCGCCGCUGUAA